AUGACAGGUGAGUGAUAGACGGGAAUAGGAGUAGUUAACUUUUAAGCCCACGUUCCCCUAGCUGCGGUUUGGAUCAGGUUUGUGGUUUGACCAGGGUGCAGGGUUAUUACCCAGUGAACUUUAUCCGACUGGCUGCCCAGUCCGUCGAUAUCCAACAUUGCUCCAUGGGGCAAUUGUCCACAGGGUUACCAAUAACGAUUGGCCCAAGUGACGGCUAAUUGCCCAUGACUUCACAGCGGAUGAGCAGAAAGCCCAGAUUGAUGACUAAAAGCCAUUUCACAUCCAUUCUUUUUCCUUUGAUGGACGAGCACAUCAUCUUUGCCACUGGUGGAUCAAUUAGCGUUUGAUAUAGAUGUGUGUAAUGAUUGCUCUUUAAGACUGUAAUUAAUUAUUACUUAACCUUUAUACAAUUAUUUGAAGGAAGAUUAAAAACCAUGCAAAACGAAA
Drosophila santomea is the source of this 447-nucleotide long non-coding RNA. RefSeq lists it as uncharacterized. NCBI's taxonomy places the organism in Eukaryota, Metazoa, Arthropoda, Insecta, Diptera, Drosophilidae. The transcript has 2 exons. The record is from RefSeq and is a predicted model, not a curated record.